UGGGGAAUAUUGGACAAUGGGCGAAAGCCUGAUCCAGCCAUGCCGCGUGUGUGAAGAAGGUCUUCGGAUUGUAAAGCACUUUAAGUUGGGAGGAAGGGCAGUAAGCGAAUACCUUGCUGUUUUGACGUUACCGACAGAAUAAGCACCGGCUAAUUCUGUGCCAGCAGCCGCGGUAAUACAGAGGGUGCAAGCGUUAAUCGGAAUUACUGGGCGUAAAGCGCGCGUAGGUGGUUCGUUAAGUUGAAUGUGAAAUCCCCGAGCUUAACUUGGGAAUUGCAUUCGAUACUGGUUAGCUAGAGUGUGGGAGAGGAUGGUAGAAUUCCAGGUGUAGCGGUGAAAUGCGUAGAGAUCUGGAGGAAUACCGAUGGCGAAGGCAGCCAUCUGGCCUAACACUGACGCUGAGGUACGAAAGCAUGGGGAGCAAACAGG
RNAcentral lists this ribosomal RNA (429 nucleotides) under Pseudomonadota bacterium. RNAcentral describes it as "Proteobacteria bacterium partial 16S ribosomal RNA". It matches the Rfam family "Bacterial small subunit ribosomal RNA", at positions 355 to 776 of the family's 1533-position model. The record is from RNAcentral. Lineage: Bacteria; Pseudomonadati; Pseudomonadota.